This 74-nucleotide transfer RNA is filed under the name Gorsachius melanolophus (Malayan night-heron). RNAcentral's name for it is "tRNA-Glu". The record is from RNAcentral. Lineage: Eukaryota; Metazoa; Chordata; Aves; Pelecaniformes; Ardeidae. RNAcentral also lists the same sequence under 1 other name.
GUUCCUGUAGUUGAAUUGUUAGUCAACGGUGGCUUUUCAAGUCACAGGUCUUGGAGAGAAGCCAAGUAGGAAUU